This 301-nucleotide ribosomal RNA is filed under the name uncultured bacterium. RNAcentral's name for it is "partial 16S ribosomal RNA". It matches the Rfam family "Bacterial small subunit ribosomal RNA", at positions 509 to 808 of the family's 1533-position model. The record is from RNAcentral.
CAGCAGCCGCGGUAAUACGUAGGUGGCGAGCGUUGUCCGGAAUCAUUGGGCGUAAAGGGAGCACAGGCGGGCAUGUAAGUCUUUCUUAAAAGUUCGGGGCUCAACCCCGUGAUGGGAAAGAAACUACAUGUCUUGAGUACAGGAGAGGAAAGCGGAAUUCCCAGUGUAGCGGUGAAAUGCGUAGACAUUGGGAGGAACACCAGUGGCGAAGGCGGCUUUCUGGACUGCAACUGACGCUGAGGCUCGAAAGCCAGGGGAGCGAACGGGAUUAGAGACCCGCGUAGUCCCUGUCUCUUAUACC